CUGUUGUGGUCGAGUGAUUUUAGU
RNAcentral lists this non-coding RNA (24 nucleotides) under Arabidopsis thaliana (thale cress). Lineage: Eukaryota; Viridiplantae; Streptophyta; Magnoliopsida; Brassicales; Brassicaceae. The record is from RNAcentral.